This 482-nucleotide ribosomal RNA is filed under the name uncultured bacterium. RNAcentral describes it as "partial 16S ribosomal RNA". It matches the Rfam family "Bacterial small subunit ribosomal RNA", at positions 30 to 507 of the family's 1533-position model. The record is from RNAcentral.
AUUGAACGCUGGCGGCAUGCUUUACACAUGCAAGUCGAACGGUAACAGGCCGCAAGGUGCUGACGAGUGGCGAACGGGUGAGUAAUGCAUCGGAACGUGCCCAGUCGUGGGGGAUAACUACUCGAAAGAGUAGCUAAUACCGCAUACGAUCUAUGGAUGAAAGCGGGGGACCGUAAGGCCUCGCGCGAUUGGAGCGGCCGAUGUCAGAUUAGGUAGUUGGUGGGGUAAAGGCUCACCAAGCCAACGAUCUGUAGCUGGUCUGAGAGGACAACCAGCCACACUGGGACUGAGACACGGCCCAGACUCCUACGGGAGGCAGCAGUGGGGAAUUUUGGACAAUGGGCGAAAGCCUGAUCCAGCAAUGCCGCGUGCAGGAAGAAGGCCUUCGGGUUGUAAACUGCUUUUGUACGGAACGAAACGGCUCUGGUUAAUACCCGGGGCUAAUGACGGUACCGGAAGAAUAAGCACCGGCUAACUACGUG